CAUGAUUUCUUAUCGACUAAAACUUUGUAUCCAAUAAUAGGUUACCAUUAGCUUAUAAAGAUUGAUUUCAAGAACCCCAAACUAGAACACUUUAAUCUUUUAAGUUAUGAACUGAAUUUGAUUACUUCAAGGGCGACGUGAGAAUGAGAUCAUUGAUGUUUACAUCAUUGGUUUCCUCUGUUAUAUAUAUGAAAAUCAUGUUGCUUUCCUGAUCUGUUUGAUCAUUUUUCUGUGGUUUUUGGUCUUUGUUGUCAGGGCUUAUCUAUCACCUCCAAAUUGGACCGACGGUACUCAUUCGUCUGGUUCAUCAUUGCUUUCGGAGGAGGCAGAUGAUAUUAAAGCCACUUUAGCACCAGAGCCUGCUGCCCAGGCGUUCAAAUUACUCAAUGAGAGUCCUGCAAUUCAGUCUAUUGUUGCGUCGAUUGCCGCCGAUCCAAAUGUAUGGAAUGCUGUACUGCACAGUCCGGCUUACAUCGACUUCAUCCGGUCGCAUAAGACCAAGUAUACAUUUGAAAAUAAUGGAUCCCCUUAGAUAUAUGAAUCUUCUUCGGUAAAGAUCGAAGAGCAUAUCGAUGCAAAUCAACCCCAAGGCAGGAAUCCAUUUUUGGAUUUUGUAGAGAAGUUCAAGACAAGUGUGGUUGAGAUGGCUAAUAAAGCAACUGACUUCCUGCAGAACCUCUUCACUUUACCCUAUGCUGAAACAGAGAAAGGAAGUGCUGGAUCGAACUAUCUCGAGAAGACGAUCGGAGCUAGCCUAAUGGGGUUGGCCGUGAUGGUUAUUAUGGUCGUGCUUCUUAAACGAGUCUAGAUUAAAAGUAUGAGAAUUUGUCGAUCUUACAAAACAACACGAAAUAUCGUCAUUUUUCACUUGGAUGCUUGUGGAAGACAAUG
Long non-coding RNA from Hibiscus syriacus, 891 nucleotides. RefSeq lists it as uncharacterized. The transcript is spliced from 3 exons. The record is from RefSeq and is a predicted model, not a curated record. NCBI's taxonomy places the organism in Eukaryota, Viridiplantae, Streptophyta, Magnoliopsida, Malvales, Malvaceae.